RNAcentral lists this unclassified non-coding RNA (324 nucleotides) under soil metagenome. RNAcentral describes it as "partial contains 5.8S ribosomal RNA, internal transcribed spacer 2, and large subunit ribosomal RNA". The stretch from base 1 to 120 matches the Rfam family "5.8S ribosomal RNA", at positions 35 to 154 of the family's 154-position model. The record is from RNAcentral.
GAUGAAGAACGCAGCGAAAUGCGAUAAGUAAUGCGAAUUGCAGAAUUCAGUGAGUCAUCGAAUCUUUGAACGCACAUUGCGCCCUGUGGUAUUCCGCAGGGCAUGCCUGUUCGAGCGUCAUUUCAACCCUCAAGCCCCGCUUGGUGUUGGGCCCCGCCCGCUGUGGCCGGCCCUAAAGACAGUGGCGGCGCCGCCUGGCCCUCAGCGGAGUACAUCUCUCGCUCCAGGGUCCGGUGGCCGCCUGCCAGAACCCCCCAACUCUGUGGUUGACCUCGGAUCAGGUAGGGAUACCCGCUGAACUUAAGCAUAUCAAUAAGCGGAGGA